UGAGUUUGAUUCUGGCUCAGGACGAACGCUGGCGGCGUGCUUAAUACAUGCAAGUCGAACGCUCUCGACCUUCGGGUCACAUGAGAGAGUGGCGAACGGGUGCGUAACACGUGAGAAACCUGCCCCAAAGACGGGAAUAGCCCGAGGAAACUCGGAUUAAUACCCGAUACCUCCACAAUAUCGCAUGGCAUUGUGAAGAAAGUUCAGGCGCUUUGGGAGGGUCUCGCGGCCUAUCAGCUUGUUGGUGAGGUAACGGCUCACCAAGGCAUCGACGGGUAGCUGGUCUGAGAGGACGAUCAGCCACACUGGGACUGAGACACGGCCCAGACUCCUACGGGAGGCAGCAGUAGGGAAUCUUGCGCAAUGGGCGAAAGCCUGACGCAGCAACGCCGCGUGGGGGAUGAAUGCCUUCGGGUUGUAAACCCCUUUCAGCAGGGACGAAAAUGACGGUACCUGCAGAAGAAGCUCCGGCCAACUACGUGCCAGCAGCCGCGGUAAUACGUAGGGAGCGAGCGUUGUCCGGAAUUAUUGGGCGUAAAGAGCUCGUA
This 548-nucleotide ribosomal RNA is filed under the name uncultured bacterium. RNAcentral's name for it is "bacterial SSU rRNA". It matches the Rfam family "Bacterial small subunit ribosomal RNA", at positions 1 to 573 of the family's 1533-position model. The record is from RNAcentral.